AACGAACGCUGGCGGCGUGUCUUAAGCAUGCAAGUCGUGCGGCAAGGGUAGCAAUACCCCUAGAGCGGCGGACUGGUGAGUAACGCGUGGGUGAUCUACCUUUGGGAUGGGGAUAGCCACUAGAAAUAGUGGGUAAUACCGAAUACGUUCGUCGGGCUUUGGCCUGACGAGGAAAGGCGCUUCGGCGCCACCCGAAGAUGAGCCCGCGUCCCAUUAGCUAGUUGGUGAGGUAAGAGCCCACCAAGGCGAUGAUGGGUAGGCGGCCUGAGAGGGUGUACGCCCACAUUGGGACUGAGAUACGGCCCAAACUCCUACGGGAGGCAGCAGCUAAGAAUAUUCCGCAAUGGACGAAAGUCUGACGGAGCGACGCCGCGUGGAUGACGAAGGCCGAAAGGUUGUAAAGUCCUUUUGUUGGGAAGAAUAACCAUGGGAGGUAAUGCCCGUGGGAUGACAUGAACCGACGAAUAAGCCCCGGCUAACUACGUG
Molecule: ribosomal RNA, 486 nt
Filed under: uncultured bacterium
Lineage: Bacteria
Description: bacterial SSU rRNA
Rfam family: Bacterial small subunit ribosomal RNA
Source: RNAcentral